Molecule: ribosomal RNA, 402 nt
Filed under: uncultured bacterium
Lineage: Bacteria
Description: partial 16S ribosomal RNA
Rfam family: Archaeal small subunit ribosomal RNA
Source: RNAcentral
ACACCGGCAGCUCAAGUGGUAGCCGCUUUUAUUGGGCCUAAAGCGUCCGUAGCCGGUCUGAUAAGUCUCUGGUGAAAUCCCACAGCUUAACUGUGGGAAUUGCUGGAGAUACUAUCAUGACUCGAGGUCGGGAGAGGCUGGAGGUACUCCCAGGGUAGGGGUGAAAUCCUGUAAUCCUGGGAGGACCACCUCUGGCGAAGGCGUCCAGCUGGAACGAACCUGACGGUGAGGGACGAAAGCCAGGGGCGCGAACCGGAUUAGAUACCCGGGUAGUCCUGGCCGUAAACGAUGUGGACUUGGUGUUGGGAUGGCUUCGAGCUGCCCCAGUGCCGAAGGGAAGCUGUUAAGUCCACCGCCUGGGAAGUACGGCCGCAAGGCUGAAACUUAAAUGAAUUGGCGGGG